Molecule: non-coding RNA, 23 nt
Filed under: Arabidopsis thaliana (thale cress)
Lineage: Eukaryota; Viridiplantae; Streptophyta; Magnoliopsida; Brassicales; Brassicaceae
Source: RNAcentral
AGGAUUACGGGCCAUUGCCUUCC